UUAGAUGCUUCUAUCAGUUUUACAGCUAAUAUUUAUUCUGCGAUUUGCUGCACGUCAUUAUCCUUCAGGACUAGUAAGACUGAACAGUAAACAGUUUAUCCUUGUCUUUUGUUGCUGUUUUAUAAAUUAACUUCACUGGGGGAAUUUCAGAAGAUGGAAAUAGGAUCCCAACCACAAGAUGUAACUCCACCCUAUCCCGGCCCUCCCAUACAUUACGGCAGUGCUGGGCCUCAGCCAGAGAUGUACGCUCAACCAGGCUUUUCCGCUCAACCAAGCUUUCCCACUCAACCAGCCUUCUCCACUCAACCUGGCUAUCCCACUCAACCAAGCUUUCCCGCUCAACCAGCCUUCUCCACUGUGAUGGAAAUUCUUGCACGUCACGAACAGGAUCUAACGUGCCAAAGGAGACCGCAGGAUGGGACACGGACGCCUG
This is a long non-coding RNA of Girardinichthys multiradiatus, 433 nucleotides long. RefSeq lists it as uncharacterized. The transcript has 3 exons. NCBI's taxonomy places the organism in Eukaryota, Metazoa, Chordata, Actinopteri, Cyprinodontiformes, Goodeidae. The record is from RefSeq and is a predicted model, not a curated record.